Molecule: ribosomal RNA, 422 nt
Filed under: uncultured bacterium
Lineage: Bacteria
Description: bacterial SSU rRNA
Rfam family: Bacterial small subunit ribosomal RNA
Source: RNAcentral
AACGCGAAGAACCUUACCGGGGCUUGACAUCCUCUGACCAUCUAGGAGACUAGGUUUCCGGGCAACCGGACAGAGAGACAGGUGCUGCAUGGCUGUCGUCAGCUCGUGCCGUGAGGUGUUGGGUUAAGUCCCGCAACGAGCGCAACCCUUGUCGUGUGUUGGUCGCAAGAUCUCUCACACGAGACCGCCGGUGACAAGCCGGAGGAAGGUGGGGAUGACGUCAAGUCAGCAUGGCCCUUACGUCCCGGGCUACACACGUGCUACAAUGGGAAGGACAGCGAGUCGCGAACCCGCGAGGGCAAGCUAAUCUCUUAAACCUUUCCUCAGUUCGGAUUGGAGGCUGCAACUCGCCUCCAUGAAGUCGGAAUCGCUAGUAACCGCAGAUCAGCUACGCUGCGGUGAAUACGUUCCCGGGCCUUGUA